This 459-nucleotide ribosomal RNA is filed under the name uncultured bacterium. RNAcentral's name for it is "bacterial SSU rRNA". It matches the Rfam family "Bacterial small subunit ribosomal RNA", at positions 8 to 463 of the family's 1533-position model. The record is from RNAcentral.
AGAGUUUGAUCCUGGCUCAGAUUGAAUGCUGGCGGCAGGCCUAACACAUGCAAGUCGAACGGUAACAGGAAGCAGCUUGCUGCUUCGCUGACGAGUGGCGGACGGGUGAGUAAUGUCUGGGAAACUGCCCGAUGGAGGGGGAUAACUACUGGAAACGGUAGCUAAUACCGCAUAACGUCGCAAGACCAAAGAGGGGGACCUUAGGGCCUCUUGCCAUCGGAUGUGCCCAGAUGGGAUUAGCUAGUAGGUGGGGUAACGGCUCACCUAGGCGACGAUCCCUAGCUGGUCUGAGAGGAUGACCAGCCACACUGGAACUGAGACACGGUCCAGACUCCUACGGGAGGCAGCAGUGGGGAAUAUUGCACAAUGGGCGCAUGCCUGAUGCAGCCAUGCCGCGUGUAUGAAGAAGGCCUUCGGGUUGUAAAGUACUUUCAGCGGGGAGGAAGGGAGUAAAGUUAA